AUGCCUGCUUCUCUAGGUCUCCUAUCAAACCUCACAUCUCUCAACGUUACCCAUAACAAUCUGACUGGUGAUAUUCCCAUGUCAUUCUCCAACCUCACAGCUCUCACGAACCUUAGCAUGCGUAGCAACUACUUCCAUGGCCAAAUCCCCAGCUGGCUCGGCAACCUGACUUCACUGACACACUUAGGAUUAUCCCAGAACAGUUUCAAUGGCCAUCUCUCUCCAGCUCUUGGUAAGAUGGCUAAUCUUGUUAUAUUUGACAUCACAGCUAACAGACUGGAAGGCCCUUUUCCUCCAUCCUUGUUCAAUCUUUCUUCCGUCACAGACUUCCGCAUCAGCUUCAACCAGUUUUCAGGAUCUCUGCCGCUUGAUAUUGGCUUUAAGCUUCCCAAGCUACAUAUAUUCACCACAAAUGGGAACCAAUUCGUUGGACCAAUACCAGCCUCCUUGUCAAAUGCUCCGCACUUAAAGAUUUGUUUUUUCGCGGAAAUCAGCAUCAUGGGCUGA
This 507-nucleotide ribosomal RNA is filed under the name Triticum aestivum (bread wheat). Its description in RNAcentral is "partial small subunit ribosomal RNA". Lineage: Eukaryota; Viridiplantae; Streptophyta; Magnoliopsida; Poales; Poaceae. The record is from RNAcentral.